GUAAUAGCUCACUGGUCGAGUCGGCCUGCGCGGAAGAUGUAACGGGGCUAAACUGUGCACCGAAGCUGCGGCAGCGACACUAUGUGUUGUUGGGUAGGGGAGCGUUCUGUAAGCCUGCGAAGGUGUCCUGUGAGGGAUGCUGGAGGUAUCAGAAGUGCGAAUGCUGACAUAAGUAACGAUAAUGCGGGUGAAAAACCCGCACGCCGGAAGACCAAGGGUUCCUGUCCAACGUUAAUCGGGGCAGGGUGAGUCGACC
This 256-nucleotide ribosomal RNA is filed under the name Kluyvera ascorbata. Its description in RNAcentral is "partial 23S ribosomal RNA". It matches the Rfam family "Bacterial large subunit ribosomal RNA", at positions 1134 to 1389 of the family's 2925-position model. Lineage: Bacteria; Pseudomonadati; Pseudomonadota; Gammaproteobacteria; Enterobacterales; Enterobacteriaceae. The record is from RNAcentral.